RNAcentral lists this ribosomal RNA (406 nucleotides) under uncultured bacterium. RNAcentral describes it as "partial 16S ribosomal RNA". It matches the Rfam family "Bacterial small subunit ribosomal RNA", at positions 29 to 526 of the family's 1533-position model. The record is from RNAcentral.
AUUGAACGCUGGCGGCAGGCCUAACACAUGCAAGUCGAACGAGUGGCGGACGGGUGAGUAAUGUCUGGGAAACUGCCUGAUGGAGGGGGAUAACUACUGGAAACGGUAGCUAAUACCGCAUACCAUCAGAUGUGCCCAGCUGGGAUUAGCUAGUUGGUGGGGUAACGGCUCACCAAGGCGACGCUCCCUAGCUGGUCUGAGAGGAUGACCAGCCAAACUGGAACUGAGACACGGUCCAGACUCCGACGGGAGGCAGCAGUGGGGAAUGUGGCGCAAUGGGCGCAAGCCUGAUGCAGCCAGGCCGCGUGUAUGAAGAAGGCCUUCGGGUUGUAAAGUACUUUCAGCAGGGAAGCGGUAGCCGCAGAAGAAGCACCGGCUAACUACGUGCCAGCAGCCGCGGUAAUAC